GACAGAGGGUGCGAACGUUGCUCGGAAUCACUGGGCGUAAAGCGCGUGUAGGCGGACUUGCAAGUCAGGUGUGAAAUCCCUGAGCUCAACUCAGGAACUGCACUUGAAACUACUCGUCUUGAGUGUCGGAGAGGGAAGUGGAAUUCCUGGUGUAGAGGUGAAAUUCGUAGAUAUCAGGAGGAACACCUGUGGCGAAGGCGGCUUCCUGGACGACAACUGACGCUGAGACGCGAAAGCGUGGGGAGCAAACAGG
Molecule: ribosomal RNA, 253 nt
Filed under: uncultured bacterium
Lineage: Bacteria
Description: partial 16S ribosomal RNA
Rfam family: Bacterial small subunit ribosomal RNA
Source: RNAcentral